UUGCAGGAUAGUGUUAAAAACACAGGUUAAAUGGAUGUUGAAGAGCUGAUAUAAGAGGCCACAUUUGGGUAAGAAAAGAGUUAUUGGUCUUUUUAAUUGAUUGUUUCAUCUUCCCUGCAUAAAAAGUUCACCUGCAAUAUUUAAGAAGUAAACAACUGCCAGCCGAGCUGGCUGUUCCAGUCUGUCGCUCACCAAACACCAUCAAUUCUGGUUUUGAGCUACUUGUAACACCAGCUAUUGGCUGUGUAAAAAAAUCUUAAAAAGACAGUAGACUGUUUGGCUGAAAUAUAUUAC
This 294-nucleotide long non-coding RNA is filed under the name Homo sapiens (human). RNAcentral describes it as "non-protein coding lnc-TSPY4-6:1". The record is from RNAcentral. Lineage: Eukaryota; Metazoa; Chordata; Mammalia; Primates; Hominidae.